This 754-nucleotide long non-coding RNA is filed under the name Phascolarctos cinereus (koala). Its description in RNAcentral is "lncRNA (ENSPCIG00000025103.2)". The record is from RNAcentral. Lineage: Eukaryota; Metazoa; Chordata; Mammalia; Diprotodontia; Phascolarctidae.
GGAAGACUUGUCCAACCGGAGAGGAUAGACCCUUUCAGAGUCCUGCUGAGCGUGGGCUGAGCUGUUGACCUUGCUAAAGAGAGCACUGUAACCUUGCAGCCGGCCAGUAAAGAAUGAGCCCAAUGGACUGAUCUAUCCCAAAGGGACUCUUUGCCCUCUGAAGGACAUGGCCUGGCAUCACCUCUGCAAUGACAUCCCCUCUCCUGCGCCCUGACCCUUAACGCCUAAAGUUUGGGAGAGGCUGAUAAAGCUUUUUCAGCAGUUCUGAUUCGGUUAGGAGACAGCAUGGCCCCUGGGGAUUGCUCCACCUCCAUCCAUCACUUCCCAUUUUCUACUGCAUCUCCAGGCCAUGGGAAGAGGGCUCUCCUGACUUCUGGCCACACUUGAGGAAGGUUCACCAUCAGGGAGAGCUGCCCAAGUGCACAGAGACAGUCCUACGCCCAGAACCAAAACAAGAAGCUGGCUUUCCCUGGGGGAAAAUAUUCUAAUGAAUAAGCAGCAUGAAUGGAUUUUUCCAAAAUAAUGCCUUGCAUAUGGAUUCUGGGACAAUCAUUCCACCACUGAGCAUUGUUCUGCUUAGCUCCAUCUCAUCAAAAGAAUAGGUAAGACCAGCCCAAGGCUAUUACCCAAGUUCGUUGACCUCUGCAUCCUUCCACCCAACAAACAGGAGGCUGCUUCUGAGCAAAAUGCUGUGGACUGAAUGUAGAUCCUAGGCUCUUAAUGCUUCUGAGAAGUAACCUGUCUGGAAAACAAC